AUGGUGGAACUUGCCGGGGUUUUCGCAGGACGCUCUGCUCAGGCUGUCCUUGUGCUGCUGCAGAUCGUGGCCGCUGCUGGGCCGCUGGGGACGAAACAUGGGGGGCAGCAUGCUGGAGCCCCGGGGCGGCUCAUCCGACCCGUUGUUGGGGGCUUCCAUGCACAGGUAAUUGGGGUCGUUCUUUUUGGGCAGUUUGCUGCAGUCCAACGAGUCCGGCCACUUAAAAUUGAACUGCUCCAUGAUCGGGGAGCACUUCAGCCUCGCCUGCUCGCACAUCACCCUGCAGGCUGGGAUUGGGGUGGAAACCUGCUCCGUGCACAUCGGGGCGUAGAGGGAGCACAGGAAAAAUUUCAGAUGGCUGUGGCACCCGUACUCCACCAAGGGGGCAAACUCGUGCAGCUGAAUGGCAGCUUCCCUUUGGUUUUCGUGCCCCAUCAGGUUGGGCAUCCUGGUCAUGUUGUAGCCGAUAUCCUUGCACAUGGGGAUCUCGAUGGGCUGGCAGCGGCCGUCGCCGGGCCGCUCGAUGUCCAUGGAGCUGAUGGCCGCGCAGCAGCCGCUGAGCCAGCAGAGCAGCAGCGCGGUGCUGCCGGCCGCCGGCCCCAUGCUGGCGGCUGCGGGGCGGCCGGAGCGCGGGCCGGGGGCCCCGGGGCUCAGAGCAGCGGCCGGCCGGGCCCUGCCCGCCGCAGCACCGGCCCCGAGCGCGGCGGGGCCGCGGCGCGGGCGGAGCGGGGCAGCAUCGCCCGGGCCCGCCGGGGAGCGGCGGAAGGGAAAGCGCCCCCGCUCCGCAGAAGCGCCCAACUUACUGCGGGCAGCGCGGCAACUUUCCGCUCCCCGGGCUUCCACUUUCGCGAUCCGCCGGCCCACCUCCCUGGGCUCCGCUCCUUCCCGCGGCCGAGCGAUGUCCGCGGAGCUGGGCGCGGGCACGGCCGGGCGAUCACCGCGUCCCCUCGCACAUGUCCCGGGCGGCUCUGCUGCCGCCGCUGCCUCCGGGGAUUCUCCGCUCCUCCGACGGGUCGCGGCUCCUCACUUUCUUGCCGAGAGGUGGAGAUUGGUUUAUCCGAGCGCGGAAUAAAGGAGGAGGAGGGGGAGGAAAUAUCUAAGCCAUUGAAGAGGGGGGCCUGA
This 1122-nucleotide long non-coding RNA is filed under the name Junco hyemalis (dark-eyed junco). RNAcentral's name for it is "lncRNA (ENSJHYG00000015008.1)". The record is from RNAcentral. Lineage: Eukaryota; Metazoa; Chordata; Aves; Passeriformes; Passerellidae.